Microcebus murinus (gray mouse lemur) is the source of this 1823-nucleotide non-coding RNA. Lineage: Eukaryota; Metazoa; Chordata; Mammalia; Primates; Cheirogaleidae. The record is from RefSeq and is a predicted model, not a curated record.
CAGUAGCGGGGCCUUUUCGGCUGGGUUCGCGGUCCUAUAAGGCGCUGCUUGUUUAAGUACAUCGCAUUUAGUUGGAGCUGCAGGGGAGUGAGGGAGAGGAGGAUAGGAAGGAGGAGAGCGGGAGAGCUUGAGGGAGAACGGGGCUUGCUGUGUUUACACUAGGCACAGGCUACGAGCGCCCAUCCCUGUCCCUGGCUCGCGCUCUCGAAGAGGAGAGCAAGGCUGCUCUGGGAUCCGGCCGUCGUGCGGCAGGAGCUUCGUCUGUCCGGGUUGCCCAAGCCGGGAGAGCCCAGAGGGAAACCGAGGGAAACGAGCGACGCGUUUUACUAGAGAGAGCGCGAGCGGAAGAGGCGAGAGCCGGAGCGCGCGAGGGAGCAUCGAGCGCGGCGGAGACAUGAGGACCUACUGGCUGCACAGCGUCUGGGUGCUGGGCUUCUUCCUGUCCCUCUUCUCAUUGCAAGGUAAGUGAAACCAGUUUCUACAACACAUGGUUACUGGACUCUGUCAGCAUAUAGUGACUUUUUCCACUUAAUAUACCACAAGGAGACAUCCCAGUAUCUUCUGUCGCUCCUAUUUGGCUUGUGAGUCUUUACCCAAAAGUGGUAUAUAACCAAUAAGUAACCUAGGACUAAGAAAUAUUUAAGUGAUUAUAUUUAUAAUCUAUAUAUAAUGUUCAGUUACAACUUUCUUUAAGGUAAGUGAACUUAUUUAAAUCUUGCUUUGACUCAUAGAAGAACUAAAGGUAAUAUAUCCAUGUUGAAUUUCCAUUCAAAAUCAUUCUUCUCUAAUGUGUUUUUCCUUAUUCGAUUUACAUUAAAUAAAAUUGGGGGUAUCUUAAGGUAUGUGUCUCUUUGAUCAUUUGAGGUACAAUUCUGUGUACAUGUUGGUACUUUUCUUUUGUUCCAUUUCUCCCUAAAAGAUAGACUCAAAAGUAUGGCAUUGGCAUGAUUUUUGGUGUGCUCUGGAGUGUAGGAUAUUAAAAUACAUGGUUGCUUUCAUCCAAAUCUACUCUGAGGUCAGGUCAGUGUUUUAAACUUGCAGAAAAUGAGUUCUUAGCAGUGCAGUGUUGAGAAGGAUUUAUUAAUAGUCGGCAAGAUGGAAGAUAACUAGUAAAAGAGGGAAAAGAAUACUUGGGAACUCCCAAGUAAAUAUUUGAACAGUGACUGCUCCUAGAAAAUUGGCAGUGAGUCUUUUUGGCUUCUCUCUGGGUUUAGCCAUUCUCUUGGCUUUUCAUACUUAGCAAUUCUUCAAUUCCUUAUCCUGCUUUCCAAAUUCAGUUUGUGUUUUCAGCAUAGAAUGAAUCAUCCAUGUUGUAUUUGGCUGUUUGCAUUUACUGUGGGCAUCUCAGAUGUUCCAACAAAUUGACUUGUGUGUCACUUGUGUGUAAUUUUCCCUUUACAAAGAAGUUACAAACCUUCUUAUUCAUAAUAAUUAUCCUAGCUGAUGGAGCUCAUCAAGGCAGCCCCUCUGCUCACCUCAUGGGGACAGAUUAUUCUGAGGUGCUGCCGAUUCCUUGUUUGAAUUCUGCCAUCAAUAUCCAUGUGUGAAAUUAUUAAUUGCAAAGCACAAUGGAAUGGUCUUACAGCAAAAGAUUGAACAGUUUUACUUGAAGGUCACUGUCAGAAUUGGCCCUCUGUGAUACAUUAUUCUAAACUAAACAUUUCAUUUUAUUUCAUUGUUAAUUGAGUGCCUCAGUUAAUGAUUUACUACUGUGUCAAAACGCGUCUUGCUAUCUAUGGAAAAUGUAGGCUAGACAUGUUGUUGUGCAUUGUGUAGCUUUGAAUUUCAGAAGUGGAAAUGGCCAAAGCACCUCUGCCUUAAAA